Molecule: non-coding RNA, 100 nt
Filed under: Bacillus sp. (in: firmicutes)
Lineage: Bacteria; Bacillati; Bacillota; Bacilli; Caryophanales; Bacillaceae
Also listed under: 1 other name
Description: Bacillus sp. Guanine sequence
Rfam family: Purine riboswitch aptamer
About the family: Riboswitches are metabolite binding domains within certain messenger RNAs that serve as precision sensors for their corresponding targets.
Source: RNAcentral
ACACAAAAAAAAAUUAUUUUUCGUAUAUCCUUAAUGAUAUGGUUUAAGGGCAAUACAUAGAAACCACAAAUUUCUUACUGCGAAAAAUAUGCUUCUUUAG